CCCGGUGAUUCACUUGCAAGGAAACACGCGUACCCAUUCCGAACACGAACGUUAAGCUUGCAGGGCCAAUGAUAGUGUCAAAAGCGCGAAAGUAGGUACUGCCGGGA
This 107-nucleotide ribosomal RNA is filed under the name Planctomycetaceae bacterium. Lineage: Bacteria; Pseudomonadati; Planctomycetota; Planctomycetia; Planctomycetales; Planctomycetaceae. The record is from RNAcentral.